RNAcentral lists this ribosomal RNA (428 nucleotides) under uncultured bacterium. RNAcentral describes it as "partial 16S ribosomal RNA". It matches the Rfam family "Bacterial small subunit ribosomal RNA", at positions 354 to 796 of the family's 1533-position model. The record is from RNAcentral.
GUGGGGAAUAUUGGGCAAUGGGCGAAAGCCUGACCCAGCAACGCCGCGUGAAGGAAGAAGGUUUUCGGAUUGUAAACUUCUGUCCUCAGGGAAGAAGAAAGUGACGGUACCUGAGGAGGAAGCCCCGGCUAACUACGUGCCAGCAGCCGCGGUAAUACGUAGGGGGCGAGCGUUGUCCGGAAUGACUGGGCGUAAAGGGCGCGUAGACGGCUGUCUAAGUCUGGAGUGAAAGUCCUGCUUUCAAGGUGGGAAUUGCUUUGGAGACUGGAUGGCUUGAGUGCGGAAGAGGUAAGUGGAAUUCCCAGUGUAGCGGUGAAAUGCGUAGAGAUUGGGAGGAACACCAGUGGCGAAGGCGACUUACUGGGCCGUAACUGACGUUGAUGCGCGAAAGCGUGGGGAGCGAACGGGAUUAGAAACCCCGGUAGUCC